UUUUUAUGGAGAGUUUGAUCCUGGCUCAGGAUGAACGCUGGCGGCGUGCCUAAUACAUGCAAGUCGAGCGAACAGACGAGGAGCUUGCUUCUCUGACGUUAGCGGCGGACGGGUGAGUAACACGUGGAUAACCUACCUAUAAGACUGGGAUAACUUCGGGAAACCGGAGCUAAUACCGGAUAAUAUAUUGAACCGCAUGGUUCAAUAGUGAAAGACGGUUUUUGCUGUCACUUAUAGAUGGAUCCGCGCCGCAUUAGCUAGUUGGUAAGGUAACGGCUUACCAAGGCAAC
This 290-nucleotide ribosomal RNA is filed under the name Staphylococcus epidermidis NIH08001. RNAcentral describes it as "partial 16S ribosomal RNA". It matches the Rfam family "Bacterial small subunit ribosomal RNA", at positions 1 to 277 of the family's 1533-position model. The record is from RNAcentral. Lineage: Bacteria; Bacillati; Bacillota; Bacilli; Caryophanales; Staphylococcaceae.